RNAcentral lists this transfer RNA (26 nucleotides) under Lepidothrix coronata (blue-crowned manakin). Its description in RNAcentral is "partial tRNA-Trp". Lineage: Eukaryota; Metazoa; Chordata; Aves; Passeriformes; Pipridae. The record is from RNAcentral.
UAGAAACUUAGGUUACCUAAACCGAA